AAGUGUCAUAUGAUGAUCAAUAGCAUAGUUCAAAUGAUCUAUUCAUGAUUAUACAAAUUCUUAGUCUUUCGCUCCUAUCUGAUGACUCCU
This 90-nucleotide small nucleolar RNA is filed under the name Trifolium pratense (red clover). RNAcentral's name for it is "snoRNA snosnR60_Z15". It matches the Rfam family "Small nucleolar RNA snR60/Z15/Z230/Z193/J17". Rfam says of the family: The members of this family belong to the C/D class of snoRNAs which contain the C (UGAUGA) and D (CUGA) box motifs. Most of the members of the box C/D family function in directing site-specific 2'-O-methylation of substrate RNAs. The family includes the yeast snoRNA snR60 (also known as Z15) and the corresponding human guide snoRNA U80 (SNORD80). Lineage: Eukaryota; Viridiplantae; Streptophyta; Magnoliopsida; Fabales; Fabaceae. The record is from RNAcentral.